GGCCAGGUGGCGGAGUGGUUACGCAGCGGCCUGCAAAGCCGUGUACACGAGUUCGAUUCUCGUCCUGGCCUCCA
RNAcentral lists this transfer RNA (74 nucleotides) under Alphaproteobacteria bacterium. RNAcentral's name for it is "tRNA-Cys". It matches the Rfam family "tRNA". Rfam says of the family: Transfer RNA (tRNA) molecules are approximately 80 nucleotides in length. Their secondary structure includes four short double-helical elements and three loops (D, anti-codon, and T loops). Lineage: Bacteria; Pseudomonadati; Pseudomonadota; Alphaproteobacteria. The record is from RNAcentral.